AUGGGGAAAUUGAAGCGUAAGCUCUUUGGAAAGGGAAAGCAGAGGAAUGCAUCCUCUGGUGAAAAUGCACCAAUGCUUUCCCAAGCGAUGCCCGAGAAGCAGGAAACCCAUGGCUUUCAGGGAAUUAAAAAUAUAGCAGGUGCACUGCUGAAGAAGGCAAAGAGUGAGAAGGAAGAUGAUAGAGAGAAGCUUGUGGCCACACAGGAGCCAAAAUCCUCAGAUGAAGCCAUUUGUCAAGUCAUAGAUCAAAAGAAUUUUUUUGAUGCUUGUAAUCAUAUUUUUGAUCUGGAACAAUCUACACCUGUGGAUAAAGCUAAGAUUGAUGCACUUUACAACAAACUAGAAGAGAGAAUGUGGGAAGUUGUGAAAAGAGCAGUUCAGAGUGGUGAUGGUGUGUUACUAGAGCCCCUGAAAUCAGUAGCUGCCUCACUGGAGUGGCAGAAACAGAAAAAAAAAGAAGAGUUUGAUAGUAACAAUGAAAUGGAAGACACUUCAACCUGGAGACCAAAGUACUGGAAUAAGGAUCUGGAGAAUCUGUUAAUAGACUGCAUGGCAGCACAGUUCCCCUCUGCUGAAUCUGCCAUUAGCACAGAUGACAUGGCACUAAGAAAACAUCUGAAGCGACUGGAAACCACAGUUCUUCCCACCUUGGAAUGCAGAAGAGCUUUCUUCAAAGAAGCAGGAUUGCUCACCAGCUACAGGAAAUGCUGUAAUGUCUGCUUAUCUUCUCACCUUACCACCCUUACAGACUGUGACUUUAACUUUAGCAGAUGUCUUUUAGUUUAUGAAUGGGGCCUUAAGAUGUGCAAAAGUGAGAAGCUUCUGCAACCCAGUUGGACUGUGGAGCAGAAGGUCUCCGUGGAAGCCCUGUGUCUUGUGCGGAUUUUUUCAGAUCUGGAGGAAAAACUACUUGCAGCUGCAAAGGAGGAAGUAAGAGAAGCACUGAAAGAAGCCAUUACUCCCAGGAAAAAACUGAUCACAGACACUGCAGUUGUUAAGAUAUUGACAGAAGGGACAGAAGCUGUCCGGCAUAUCAGUGAGAGACUGAGGGAGAGAGUGGAAGUGGCAUGUCUGGAGGGAUUUCGGCAGUUUCUGUGUAGCAGGGUCCCAUCAAGCCACAGAGCUUAGCUCUGCUGCGGUGUGCCGAUUUUAAAUAUUUGUUUCUUAGACUAAGAAGUUUCUUCACGUUCCUUGGAUUGUGCAACUAUGUGG
This 1212-nucleotide long non-coding RNA is filed under the name Crocodylus porosus (Australian saltwater crocodile). RNAcentral's name for it is "lncRNA (ENSCPRG00005015798.1)". Lineage: Eukaryota; Metazoa; Chordata; Crocodylia; Crocodylidae. The record is from RNAcentral.